UACGUAGGGUGCGAGCGUUAAUCGGAAUUACUGGGCGUAAAGCGUGCGCAGGCGGUUUUGUAAGCCAGAUGUGAAGGCCCCGGGCUUAACCUGGGAAUGGCAUUUGGGACUGCAAGGCUUGAGUGCGGCAGAGGAGACUGGAAUUCCUGGUGUAGCAGUGAAAUGCGUAGAUAUCAGGAGGAAUACCGAUGGCGAAGGCAGGUCUCUGGGCUGACACUGACGCUCAUGCACGAAAGCGUGGGGAGCAAACAGG
This 253-nucleotide ribosomal RNA is filed under the name uncultured bacterium. RNAcentral describes it as "partial 16S ribosomal RNA". It matches the Rfam family "Bacterial small subunit ribosomal RNA", at positions 524 to 776 of the family's 1533-position model. The record is from RNAcentral.